GACUACUGGUGAAACCCAUUUCGAAAUGUGACAGCAGCACUCAGACUGACACCCACUUGGUGGAGACAAACAUCGUCAAGUCCUACGAGUGGAAUGAGUGGAGGCUCCGAUGGAAAGCCAUGCAGCUGGCUAACCUACGCAGCAAAGUGACUCACUCAGUGCAGACCAGCCACAUGAGGAGGAACAAUGUGAUUCAGACAUACCAGACAAAAGAUGCUGGCUGCCAGACCAAAAAAGAUGGCGAAACAAAUGGCCCUAAACAUAAGGUCUAUCUGGCAGGGCUAUGAGGUGGAAAGCCAGGACCUACAAUCAUGACAAAAAAAACAAUUUGAAUCAGUUGAUGAGUAGCUAUGUUCUAGAUAGGUGUUUUAUUGUUCUCAGUUUUACUUAUGCAAGAAACAGGAUUAAUACAUAUAAUCGUUCAAAAUGGAAA
Clupea harengus (Atlantic herring) is the source of this 433-nucleotide long non-coding RNA. RefSeq lists it as uncharacterized. The record is from RefSeq and is a predicted model, not a curated record. Lineage: Eukaryota; Metazoa; Chordata; Actinopteri; Clupeiformes; Clupeidae. The transcript has 2 exons.